Molecule: RNA transcript, 2723 nt
Organism: Acyrthosiphon pisum (pea aphid)
Lineage: Eukaryota; Metazoa; Arthropoda; Insecta; Hemiptera; Aphididae
Gene name: tetratricopeptide repeat protein 25-like
Exons: 8
Source: RefSeq, a predicted model, not a curated record
AUAAAAAAGCGACUCAUAGAAAAACAUCAAAAUAAUAUAAAACACUAACAAUGUUUGCCUAAAUAAAUGGUAAUCGCUCGAAAAUGAGUCUGUGGCCCAACCGUAUAUUGGAACCACUGGUGGAUACUAUAAUGUUAAAAUAUCUUUGAAACUCUUCACAAAAGGUUUUUCGAUUGUGCACAUUCUUUAAGGGUUUCACUCAAUUGAAGAAUCGCCUGGGCGUAAUAAAAUCGUUCCACUUUUUAAAUGUAGUAGUGGUGACCGAAAAAAAAAUUAGACGGUGUUAAUUAUUAUUAAUUAUAAUUAAAAAAAUUAAAACCAUAGACGGUGCAACAGGCCUUAAUGUUUCAAUUUCGAUAGUUGAAAAUAUUUUUAUAAUAUAAAUUAGUCGAUACCUGAUCAAAUUAACAAUAAUUAUUAUCAGAAUGUUUUAGGCAGACUAUUUGGAGGGGUUAAGCCCGUUAGCCCUCCCCUCUUUGAUAAUUAUUAAUAUUCUUUCACAAACUACAAAAUCCAUAAUAAAUUACCGAUUUUCACUACCAUGUUAUAUAAUUGUAUACCCAGCACCUACCUUAGCUAUAUCGUCUUAAUAAAAUAUGUAUUGUAGAUUUAAAAACAUUUCUGUCAAACUGAAAUAGUAUUGUUAUGUGAUCUAAUACACAAUAAAUAAUUGUUGCCAUGUUAUUUAAUGGACAAAUAACAAUAAAUAAAAAUAUUUUUGUUUUCUCGUAAAAAUUUACAAAAUUUACAAUUUUAAAAACGUUUGAAGUAAAAUAUUUUGCACUUACUACUGUUUCAUUUUCAUCAAAAUGUUCCGAACUGAUGUUGAUGAAGGCCCCAAGUUAUGGUUUAAUGAGAUAUUGGUUACAAAAACUAUAGCUGAAAGAGAAUUUCAAAAGCAUAAUUAUGAAAUAGCUGCCCAAUACUGCGAGAAAGUAUUGGCGGUGUCCGAGUAUGAUUUAAGCACUAGAAUCCUUCUAAGCAAAUGUCAACAGAACUUGUUUCAACCGAAAUUGGCCUACGAAAAUCAUGUGUUAGCAGAAGGUCAAUUUCCUAAUGAAUUAUCAGUCUUAGAGAACAGAGCAAGCAUAAUGCUAGACAAUGAAGAAUUUGAAGAAAGUCUAAUCACAUAUUUGAACGGAGUAAAAAGAAGGAUUCAGCCAUCAGAUUUUGUAUUGGGAGUUUUAAAGGUGUCAGAAAUAAUUAACGGCUCGACAAAUUUAAGAAAAGAAAAAUAUAGAAAACCUUGUUUGGGAAAUGCAGUUAUUAAGUUGGCAAAACUGGGGGGUUUGGAUAACGUAGCAGCCUUGCACUCGAUACUUUCUAAGACAAAACUUACAUGCAAAAAAAAAAAUCAAUCAUUUUAUCUUGGUCGUUUAGCACAAGACAGAAUAUACUUUGAUAAAGUGCUAAAAUCCGGUGGUCCUAAGCGACCAUUUUACGUGGCAGAAAAGAAAAUUUUAGGUAACAUGAAACGAGUAGUCGACACACUAGAUGUAGCGUAUGAACAAUUUUAUAAAAGAAAACCGAUUUUUGUCUAUAAAUGUGAUGAGCCUAAACUGAAAGGCGAUAGACUUUUAACUCAAAUAAAUAAUUCAAAACUUAUUAAAGACAUGGGACAUCUUACGAUUUGUAAAUACUUAAAUAUUAUCAUUCAACUGAUAAUAAACAACGAAAUCAAAGAAGCCAAAUUAAAAACAGAGCUUAUGAUAGAGUUUAUGGAGAAAAAAUCUUAUAAAUUUAACAGAAUUUUAAAUGCGAUUUACCAGAGCUUUGGAAUGGCGCAAUAUAUAUUAUUUCAAAACAUAAAUCGGUGGAGCAUAAAAGAUAAUCAUCAAAGAAUGCUAAUUUUUUUAGGAGCUGCUAAAAAUAACAUACCACUCCAGGAAUCUUUAUUUGGACCAUUAGAAAUAAAUCCAAAAAUAACUAUAAAUAAAUUAUGCGCUCGUUUUGAAAAAUCGGAUUCCAUUAUAGAAAAAAUGUACAUAUAUUAUGAAGAAGCUAAAUGUUACCUACAGUCUGAUGACCUUAAAAAAGCUCGAAAUAAAGCUACCAAAUGUUUACAAUUCGCUAAAGAAAUUAAUAAUAAUACAUGGACUGUGAAUGCCUUGAUUUUACUCGUAUCGAUUGAAUUUCAAUUAGACAAUAAACCUAAGUGUUGUACCAUAUUAUACAAGGCUCUUGCAAUCGCGAAAAAGCUCCAAGUGCCGGGAGUCAUAAUGUUUUUAGAUAAGGUAGCUAAAAUGAUUUUUGAAACAAAAGCUGUACAUACUUCAAGAAUCGAUAGAAAGAUAACUGAUGUAUUGAAUUUCAUGCCAGAUGUUUCAGCAAAAAUGAAUGCGAUGUACAAGCUUAAACGGUUAUCCACUAUGCCAAUAAAUCUGUAACUGUACUAUGGAAUCAAUAGAAGGUCUAUUACGAAGUUAGGCCCAAAUAAAACAGCAUACUUAGGAUUUAUUUAUAUUAGUCUGAAAAGGAUAUUUUAAUUAUGAAGGUUCGACAUGAAUUUGGGCUAUUUAUCUGACGGAAGAAUCAUUGGUUAUAACUGGGCUAGGAUGAUUAUAAAUUUUUGCGUAAAGAGUUUUUGAUCCUAACGUAUCAAGGAAAAUAUUGGAUUUGCAAUUCUAUAAACAUGGAAGCUGUCAAACUCAUUUUAUUUGAAUAUUUUUUCUUAUCAAAAAUAUGUAAACAUUUUCUGCAUCAUCAAAUGAGUAUUUAAAUAA